RNAcentral lists this ribosomal RNA (245 nucleotides) under uncultured bacterium. Its description in RNAcentral is "partial 16S ribosomal RNA". It matches the Rfam family "Bacterial small subunit ribosomal RNA", at positions 524 to 768 of the family's 1533-position model. The record is from RNAcentral.
GACGUAGGGGGCGAGCGUUGUCCGGAUUUACUGGGCGUAAAGCGCGUGCAGGCGGUUCGUUAAGUCCCGUGUGAAAUCCUCCAGCUCAACUGGAGAACGCCGCGGGAAACUGGCGGGCUUGAGGGCGGUAGAGGGUGAUGGAAUUCCCGGUGUAGCGGUGAAAUGCGUAGAUAUCGGGAGGAACGCCAGUGGCGAAGGCGGUCACCUGGGCCGUCCCUGACGCUGAGACGCGAAAGCUAGGGGAG